Long non-coding RNA from Papaver somniferum (opium poppy), 523 nucleotides. RefSeq lists it as uncharacterized. The transcript has 2 exons. The record is from RefSeq and is a predicted model, not a curated record. NCBI's taxonomy places the organism in Eukaryota, Viridiplantae, Streptophyta, Magnoliopsida, Ranunculales, Papaveraceae.
UUUAUCUUCUUUUUUUCAAAACAAAUUCCUGGAAAUAAGUCUCCUUUCUUCUCUUACCUUGUUAUCCCACCAUUUUUCUUCCCCUCAUUUUUACUGAUUUUGAAGACAAACCUCGAACAAAAAGGAAGGUUAUUGGUUUUCAAGUGCAAAUUCUGGCUCAACCCAAACUCCAAAUUUCGUUGAAUUUGUGUUCUACAAAGUUUCUGAAGAGAGGAUAAGGCGGUAAGCUUACGAAGAGCUUAAAAAAAAGUUGGUAAUUUUGCUGGUCUAAUAUGUAUAUCAAGGGGCUAUCUGGAGUUAUCUCUAUGUUUCUUUGAUCCAGGCUUGUGCCAUGUUUUUGUUGUGUAUAUAAUGUUAGAAUCUUGGGAAAAAGUUUUAUAUGACUUGCAUGGUAUUUUGGUGAUUCGGUAAGGUCUAAAUUUUGGUAUAUGUGGUACUGCUUGUUAUGUUUCAUUUUGCUGUGUACAAAUAAGAAUGAAAAUGUGUACUAAAUUGAUGUGCAUACUUGAAGUGGGUUGACCAA